Molecule: ribosomal RNA, 253 nt
Filed under: uncultured bacterium
Lineage: Bacteria
Description: partial 16S ribosomal RNA
Rfam family: Bacterial small subunit ribosomal RNA
Source: RNAcentral
UACGUAGGGGGCAAGCGUUGUCCGGAAUUAUUGGGCGUAAAGAGCGCGUAGGCGGUCCGAUAAGUCGGCUGUGAAAGUCAGGGGCUCAACCCUUGAAAGCCGGCCGAUACUGUCGGACUAGAGUCCGGAAGAGGCAAGUGGAAUUCCCGGUGGAGCGGUGAAAUGCGCAGAGAUCAGGAGGAACACCCGUAGCGAAGGCGACACGCUGGGCCGUACCUGACACUGAUGCGCGACAGCAUGGGGAGCAAACAGG